Molecule: long non-coding RNA, 4615 nt
Filed under: Homo sapiens (human)
Lineage: Eukaryota; Metazoa; Chordata; Mammalia; Primates; Hominidae
Description: non-protein coding lnc-RPS24-3:31
Source: RNAcentral
GGAGAGCGGAGGAAUGAAGGAGAGCAGAGAGGAGAGGCUUGGAGAUGAGGAAACUGAGUCUCAGAGAAGUCGAGGGACUGGCUCAGAGAUGUACAGCAUGGCAUUGCUGGAGCCGGCCUGGAAGACAAGCAGUCUCCCUCCAAUUGCACACUGUUUUCUCUGAGGCUCUGCAUUGUUGGAGGAAGGGUCAGAGGGGCUGGAGAGGAAGAAACAAUGCAAAUAUGAGGCAGCAGAAGGGAAAUAGAGGUACUGGGGGCUUCCAGCCUCAUGCUGCUUGCUCUCUCCUGAAUCCAUCGUUGGUCUUUCUGUCCUAAUCCGACCACUCCAUCGCCAGCCUCCAUUCCUCUGAAUGUUGAUAGAAGAGCUCCGGACUCUUUCCAGCUUUCCAGACUUUUCCACUCACACAGACUCAAGGGUCCUCCCAACUGUCUUGUGAAAAGAGGCCAUCCCAUUCCACAGGAGGGGAAACUGAGGCUUGGAAAAGGCACAUGGUCCCAUGUAGCGUCACUGUGGCUCUUCGGACUCUUCCAGGUCCCUCUGCCUGUCCUGGGCCUGCCAUUGUUCCACCUCCAGGUCUGCCCACUGCCUGCACCUCUCCUCCCCGUCUCACCUUGCCCUGCACUGCAGCUGCCACGACCUCCAGCAGCCCUUUAGACCAACGUCCUAAAGCGAUAAUGCCAUGAUGUUCCUGGCUUUUUCAAAACCCUUUUCCUAGAGUGUGUUAACCAGAAUGGCAGUCCCACGAGGAUCUCUGUGAUGAAAGGGCUUCAUGGUCAAAUAGUUUGGGAAACGUGGCUUCCUUUGUCCCUUCCUUCUCAGUUUGCCAAAUUUAAUUAUGCCACACCCCCAUGCACCUUCUUUUGUUUCAUGAUAUCAUUAUUUAAUACCCCAUUUUGGAAUAUUAUCUAAGAAAUGUGGCCUGAGGAAUGAAGUUCAAAUCUCUCCUCUUGGCGUCCAAAGGGCUUCACCAUCAGAUCUCAACCUUGUUUUCCACCGUGCCUCUCUUGGACAUCCAGAGCCCUUGCCCUCCCCUCAGUAGUCCCUGGUGUCCACAAAAUCCAUGGUCUCACCCUCCCUGUUUUUGCUCAGACCUCUCAACUCCCGUCAUGUAUCUCAGAGCUCUGUUUCUCCAGGGACACCCCCAACCUCUCACCCCUUGGCGGUGCACUGACUGCUGCAUCUCACUCAGCCAUUGGUUGGGUGCAAAGUAAAUUUUCUUUCCAGGCAUGAACCUGAGUCCCAAACUCAACCCUAAGCUCUUUAAGGGUGCAAGUGUCAUCUUGGGUUUCUGCGUCUCCUGACUUCCUCCCCAGGCCUGGUGCAGAAGCACUGGCAAUGCGUCUUAUGCUGGGCAGACGGUGCCCAGCAAAGUUGAAUAGAUAUGUGGCAACAGGCUGGCUCAGCUGGAGUUUCACCCUCAGUAGGGAGGAACACAUAACUCCUUCUUGCUGUGGUAUGGGAGUCCCAGGGUCUCAGGACAGUAGAGGCCACUGGUCCACACAUGUCUUCUAUGUUCAGUUUGAUCUGAAUUUGAGAUUAGCGAUUCUCUUUCUCCUCUCCCUAGUGGGAGAACAACAGGAGCUGGGCUUUGGCUGUAGCAGCAGAGGUCCCAGUUAGACUCAAGGAAUAACUUUCCAAGUAGCAGAGACUGUGGACCAUUUGCCAGAUUGGAUUUCAGUGAUUGGUUUUAGACUAAGAGGACUUUCUCUGUUGUCCUUAAGGAUUUAGGGGUGACUGUGUUCUCCCAAGAGGUGGAUAAGAUGACCUCUUUUGGGCUUUUCUAUCCCUGUAAUUUCCAGAGCUGCCAGCUCUCUGGGUCCCUGGGGUCACAAAGGGAGGAAGAAUUUCGACACAGGGAAGGAGGUGGGAGGAAAGGGGAGAGGGGUUUGUGUUGGGGGAACAGACCCCAACCUCUGCAGCUGGGGCAUGUACUGCCCAGAGGAAGGAGGUUGGCGUGCCAAACCGCCCCAGUGGCUCUUGGAGCCUCUCUGGGGCUGCUCCCCCACUCACGCGCCACAGUUAUUUUUAGCACUGGGAUGUGCAGAACAUGCUACAGAGAAACAGAGUGGAAAAUCUGACACUCAGAGCCCCGCUUGGAGGGAGACACAGUUCUUCCAGCCGGGCGCCACUCACGUGUCUGAUUUGCAUCUUGCACGUUUCUCCAAGCAGCCCGACUACUUUGAAUUCCAGCUGGCUCCCGGAGCUGACCCACAGCCUCCUGGACAGGGCCUGGGGUCCUUGCACUUGGCAGGUGGCGAUGGCUCUGGUCAGGCUCCCCUUGCUUCUGCUGGCCAUCAGAAUUGUGACCUGCAUACAAGCAUGGGGCGCUACAUAAAAAGCCCAGUGGUCGUCUCCUGGGUGUCCCAGACAUCAUGUGGAGAAGACAGGGCAGGUCUUAGGAUUGUUGUUGGGUAGGGGAGGAAAGCCAGGCCCAGACAAGGCAUCUAAGGACCUGAGGUCACACAGAGAGGGAAUAACAGAGCUGGCCCUCAGGAGGGUCAGCCCCCUCUGUCCUUGGGGCAUCCCACUGGGAAUGCAAUGUCUAGGAAGCCUAGAGUCGAAGUCCAAACCAGCUCAGGAGACAAGGAGGUUGUGUAGUGGAUAUUUAAUUAUAAAUUACUUUAUGUUUUUUCCCUUCUUAUUACAAAAACAAUGCAUGCUCUUUGUAGAAAAUUUAAAAAUACAGAUAAGCAAACAAGAAAAUUAAAAACACCCAUAAUCCCAGCACUCAGAGAUAAACCCUGUAAAUAUUUUGGUAUGUUGCUGAAUAUACCACCAGGCUUUUCCUUUUUCUUCUGUAAAACAUUUUCAUUUAUUUUUAAUUACACCUGUAAUAUAGGAACACAUUUUUUGUUAGAAAAAUUCAAACAAUACAGAUCAAGCUAAAGUCGCCUCUCUCCCUCCCCAACCGAGCUUCCCUUUUCUGCAGAGGUAAUCACAGUUCUAAUUUGAUGUAUAUCGUUCCUGAUCUUUUUUUAAGUGUACACACACAUUCAUAUCAUAUAGAGAUAUGUGGUUUUAUUUUUAGUGUGUUUGGAUGGGCUUUUUUCCCAACAGAAAUGGUAGCAUAUUGCAUGUGUUGUUCUACACUUUGAUUUUGUCACCUAUUAGUCUUGGGGUCCUCUCAGUGUCAGUGUUUAGAGCUCUAACUCAUUUGCUCUAACGGCUGGGUAGAAUUCCCUUGCAUGCAUACAUCAGAGUUUAUUUAGGCAUUCCCUUGUGAUAGACUUUUUGAUUGCAUCCACUGUGUGUGUGUGUGUGUGUGUGUGUGUGUGUGUGCGCGCGCGCACGUGUGUGAUUGCAACACUGCCUUUCAGUGCUCUCAUAUGUGCCUCCUUGGGUGAGAAAGCUUCUCAAGGGUCAAAGCCGAGAUGAGAAAUGGCUAGUUACUCUCGUUUUAUGCGCAUUAAGAAAAUGGGAGCACCUUGGAUCAACUGCCGUAAGAAUCUGCCUUCUCCACUUUUCUGUGCUAAUAUGAAGGCAGCUCUGACAGCAUUUCCCAAACUGUGCUCAGGACAGCGCUGUGUGCUGGGAGACCCUGAUAGGUCCACCUAGGGAGAUAAAAAAUCAGGGCAGGUGUACGGUUGAAUACAUUCAAUGUACAGUCGAAUAGAUUCACUGAAAUGCUCUUGGAAAUUCACCAGUGCCCAUUAGUAUGUCAAGAGGUGUCCUGAAGUAAAGAAACAAGUUUGUCUUCAUUUAGCCUGGCUGUGGAGGGCUGCGGUGUAGGAAACAGAUUGCAGCAGACAGCGGCAGUGCCCGACCCACAUCCCCUUUGCCCUGCCACUCAGUGCUCUUCUGGUCCCAAUUCCACCUGCUGGCACCUGUGCUUUGUGCCUGUGUCUGGUUUCUCUUGCUGCAGGGACCUGUGGGGCUGCCCUGUGGCAGGCUGAGCAUGCAGGGGACCCGGUGUUGUCUGUGUUCCAGCCCCAGCAGCCCUCAACCAAUGAUUGAAGGGAUUGGUGUACAGAAGCCCCAGCUCCCUCACCUCUCGGGUGAGAUAACUUUGAGGCAAGUGUUUUACAUUGAUCCCUGUGCUUCCCCAGAGGGAUCAGGCUCCAGUUCCACUGUGGUAGCUGGCUUGAAAACAUGCCCAUUAUUGGCUGCCCUCCUUCCUUGUCUCACUUCCCCACUCCUCCCCACUCAUCUCUCCAAAUUUGAAUCUUCUUGCAUUAGAGUCCUGGGUUUGCUCCGGAAAGAAGCUCAACUAAAACUGAUCAGUGGUUACUUUUUAAUGGCUCCAUGUGAAUGUCCUAAAUAUUUCUCUCAACAGAUCCUGCAUUGCUGGACAUUGAAGUUGUUUCCUUUUUUUUCACUAUUAUAAACAAUCUUGUGGUGGACAUCCUUCUAGCUCAAUGGCUGUGUACAUUUUAAAUUAUUGCUUUAGAAACUAUUCUAGACAUAAAGCCACUGGUUCAAAAGACAUGCAUCGUUGUAGGGCUUUGAUAACUUUGUGGCAUCUGCAUUCUCCCCUUCUCAUCUUGUUCUAAUCUUGCCUUGCGUUCCACAGAAGGUACAGAGGGGCCAACCUUGGAUGUGCUCUGGAAUGAGGCUCCCUCACAGGGACUGGGAAAGGCAGAAUACAGGGAAUACAUGGCAGGAUGCAGGGAGACAG